Talpa occidentalis (Iberian mole) is the source of this 1558-nucleotide RNA transcript. It is a transcript of the gene named zinc finger protein 785-like, with no coding region annotated. The record is from RefSeq and is a predicted model, not a curated record. The transcript has 3 exons. NCBI's taxonomy places the organism in Eukaryota, Metazoa, Chordata, Mammalia, Eulipotyphla, Talpidae.
CGUGCAGAAGCCGCCCUCUUGGGCAGGUGUUUGCCCCAGGGAUGUCCCCACAGUGGGUCUGGGGAUCACUGCAGCAUGGGCAGGAAUGAAAGAGGCCGGGGGGGGACAGAGACCCCUCGUGGCUCAGGCCCCUUGUUGGGGCAGGUCCGUUCCAGGACAGACAUGCGAGAUGGCGGAGACCCCGACAGCAAGUCCCCGAAAAUUCAGGAGCCUGAGGGCAGGUCAGGUGUGUCCGCUUCCCCCACAGCCCCUGGAGGGGGGACUUGCAGAGAGGAUGCCGCAGGCGGUGCCCAAAGCUGGGGUCAUCACUGUGGGGGUCAUGGGACUGACCCUGCAGGCCCGGGAGGCUUUGGUUCCUUGGAAACUGUUUAACCCUGUCCUUUCUCCUCUCCCUUGCACCCCAACCCUGUUGUUUUCCACAGCAGGGCUUUCACGUGAGGGGGUGUUUGCUCCGCACGCAACAGAUGGCAGUGCCAGUGGAGGGUGCGCAGGGUCUGGGGUCUCAGGGUGCCUCUGGGUCUGCCCCAACACUGCCACCUGCUGCUGCCGCGCGUCUUCCCUUUCCUUGUCUCCCUCGGCUUUCCCUCCUCUCGCUCCUGGGGUAAUGCCUUUAAGGUCCCUUUUCUCUCUGCUCAUUGGGGGGCCUCGCCCUGGAUUCCCCAGCACGUGCUGAGGACUCCCCACCUGGGUCAACCCUUCCCUUCGGGUUUGUCCUGAAGCACCUCCUGUCUCCCCUUCUGUAUACUCCUCUGGGUCUGCGCCGGGAUCCUGGGAGGAAACGUCAUCUCAUCUACCCUGCGGUUCUCCAUGGAGACCUUCCUGGAAUAAAGGGCAUCAGUGGGAGAAAAUACACUUGAGUACACGUGGACACCUCCUCGCUCACCUGGGGAAGACCCAGGAACACUGAGUGACCCACCAACAUGGUCUCUGCCCCCUGUGCAAUGACAUCUUCAACUCCAGAGAAAGGACAGAGGAUGGGGGUCAGCCCUGGGGGGCAGUGGGAAGCCCAGCUACAAGGGUGCGAGUGGUGCGGUCCUAAGGGGCCGCCUCUCCCUCUGAUAAGGGAUGGAGAGAUUUGGACAAAUCCUUCCAACGUGAGAACCUGGACGCCUCCUCACGGGGAUGUUCUCUUAUUCGUGGAAAUGAGUCUCACAAAAGGGCAACCUCCACCCGCCUGUCGGAGCCCCUCCGUCUGACUCCCAGGAGCGCCCAGUAAAUAGGGGAGGCCGUUGGCCCCUCACCUUCCUGUGCUGGGCCUGUCUGCUCCAGUCCUGCUGUGUGGCUCAGCCUGCUGCCCAGAGAUGGUGUCAUUGGAGGAUGUGGCUGUGAACUUCCCCUGGCAGGAGUGGGAAGACCUGAAUGAUGCUCAGAGGACCCUGUACCGGGAUGUGAUGCUGGAGACCUGCAGUCACCUGGUGUCCCUCUGUGAGGAAGCUCCAGUGUAACACGAGUGCAAGUGCUGUUUUCUACACUGAUUAAGUGUGGUCUUUCUUGUGAAAUUGGGUGGUGGUGAGGUUGAACAUGGCAAACAGACUAGAUUGUGGGUGUUUGCCCUAUU